CUAAUCCGAGAAGAACCAAUAUUUUGCAAUACACGGCAUUGCCGUGAGCUGUUAUGUGUGUAAGAAUGUAAGGCUUUUGUAAUAAUAAAGUGUAUGCCACCACGCUUUGUUUGUGUUUGACAUACUGAAUAAAAACAAGUAAGUGGUAUCCAGAGAAUGAUAGCCUUCCAGUUAAAAGAAUCACCUGACAUUUGACACCUUAAAGAACAAAAAUAAGUCUGCUCGGAAAGGAAACGCCCAUCCCAGGCACAGCGUCUCUUCAGUAGCCAACCUGGAAGUGGUUUCAUUACAAGCUCCCCAUCAUAAUAUAAAAGGCUGUAUGCAGAAUUGUAUGAAGUUUACACUCUGAUAAAGAGAAUGGUAAGUGGACAGUGUUUUUACGACACCUUUCUAGCCUUAUAGAGUCCACAGGAAAUGAACUAGACUCACACAAACCUGUAAUAAAUCCUCCCUUUGCCUAUGAGGCACCCGCCCAACAAGUUUCACAAGUUUUUUUUUUUUUUUUUUUGCAUAAACCUCCUGACAGUUGAGGAAACAUACACAAAUAAACAGCGCAAAAACAGCUCUGACGCCGCGGUCUUAAUUCCACGAGGACCUCAGGUGGAGAGAUGGAAGAGCGUUCUUCGAAAUUUCUUCUGUUUUAGUAAUUGCUUGUGAUUCAUAGGUUUACGGGAAAUCUCUCACUUGAAACUAAUUUGUGUUGAUUUGCAGUUACUCUUCCUUCCAAAAACUGAGCAAUCAAAAAGUCCCGUAAGAGAGCCGUUAAAAUCCCUCUUUCGACAGAGGUCAAUAGUUCAGGUUUCCACUUGUAAUUCGUCUGAACUUCACAUGUACUUUGUAACAAAAACAACCACAAGGUGGCGCACUCGGAUCAGCAUGACGAUUAAAGGACUCGCACGACGGGGCCGUGAGGAGGGAGCUGCUGACUAAAGAGAAGACAUUCAAAAAGUGUGGGGAAAAUGCACUACAUUGAAAGAUAACACCGCGAACUGUAAAUUUCGAGGAACGUUAAUUCUGCAGAUUACAUCAGCGUCAACGUCAAAGCAUAAAUAGAGGCCCCGAGGUUGUAUUUAAAUAGUGCAGGAUAUGAAAAAAUUUCCCUGACGUGGUUGUUUUUCCUUUUUUGUUUUGUUACAGAAAGAGAAUGCACACAUCAAAAGUUAGGCCUGCUUUCACGGCUCCUUGCUGGGAGGCAAACAGGACUUCCCCUGUUUGCCGUUUCAUCUGAGCCAGUUAGACUCGAGCAGCGGCAUCAUAGGCCCCAGAAAUUGCUGAAAAAUACCGAGCUGUAAAAAUUACCGCCCUUACUGCUAAGCGGUGAGGAAGGCAGUUUUAACAGUUGGAUCCCCCGGGCCUUGGUUCAGCUGCUCUCCAUAACAUAAGGGCUUCGGUUGAGCCAUUGACAUGUCGAAGAGGUUAACACGUGAGGAGCGGAUCAAAAUUGUGUUGACAU
Oreochromis aureus is the source of this 1453-nucleotide long non-coding RNA. RefSeq lists it as uncharacterized. Lineage: Eukaryota; Metazoa; Chordata; Actinopteri; Cichliformes; Cichlidae. The transcript has 3 exons. The record is from RefSeq and is a predicted model, not a curated record.